This 1513-nucleotide long non-coding RNA is filed under the name Hordeum vulgare. Its description in RNAcentral is "long non-coding RNA (HVUL_LNC005791)". Lineage: Eukaryota; Viridiplantae; Streptophyta; Magnoliopsida; Poales; Poaceae. The record is from RNAcentral.
ACAGGUUUUGCCCAUGAUACGCCCAAGAUGGCCUUGGUAAACCAACAUUAUUUCACUAAGCUGGAACAUAUGAAAUACUGAUACUACAAAUCAUCCGGGAAACAGUACUAUGUCUUACAGGUUUGUCCAAAAGAUUCGCAAAGCCACUGUCAUUACAUACCCAUGUUCAGAGGCCGUGGUACUCCGCUCAUGCUGAAAUGGCAGUGGAUACAUACAUUAUGUAUUUAUUUACAGUAGACUAUUUCUGUCUUUUAUUGGUUUCAGCGUGAACGAUUACCCUGAAGACUACUCAUCCGAGUUGAAGAUGCUCCCCUCCUGGUGGUACGUAGCAUCGUCGUGUGCUUCUAGGUCACUGGCAUCAUAGACAAAACGACUUUCCAUAAGAUGCCAUUAAUUGAGGAUGAAACAUUCGAUUCUCAUACCAUAUUUGAAAGAAAAAAACGGCAACAAAACUGAAGAUGGCAGUCACUAGCUACAUAAAAGGAUACCGAAAGUAGCACCAACGUAUGAAAUGGGAAACAUGCACAACUAAGAAAUCAAAAGAUGAUUGAUUGUUAACAAACAUAACAUCUAUUCAACAUAAGAGCCAAUCAUUAAAUCACAAUACUACAUCCACAGCAGUCCCAUGGAAACAUGGACACCAAAUGUCAAUGGCAUGACCCAAUCCCUACCCCCAGAAGUAAGGAUAGAAAGGCGAACUGAGAUACUAUUCUCAGGCGUAGAGUCGAGUUUCCCUAAACCAAAGAUAACACAUAUUCAAUUAUAAUCUAAUAAUUCCAGUCCACGACCUUCUGUCCCUCUCAUCCUUGACACAUGGCUGGCUAACACACUCUGAACCACACCCACCAUCUUCAUAUGACAUUCGGUCCUUGGAUACUCACCAUCCCAGCAUGUCACGACAAAAGAUGCAAAGCGUGAUGAAACUUGAAGGACCCUAAUGCACAUCAUCAUGAAUUCAACAUGCCAGUAAAAGCACAUUCAAGCAUACGAGGUUGUGUAUAAAAAAGGAUGUGCUUCUUGCUGUAUUAUGAAAUGCUGUCGUAGAAUACUGCACACUAACUUACGAGCUAAUUAAGUAAUACAUGCACACUGGCUUGCAAAUUGCUACAGGAAUACAUGUACACUUACUUCCAAGUUGCUGCAAUCACAAAACCGCAAAGAAAGAAGGAAAACAUGACAUAGUACUGAUUAUUGUAUUGCCAACAUUUCAGGGAUCAGCUUAGCAGCUUGUCCAUUUAUAUGCUGCUAAAGAGACUGAUACAUAAACAUUUUAUUUACCAGGAUAACAUGUUGAAACCAAACAAGAAUAACAAGUCACUAGGGAGCAAAUGUACCUUUAGGCAGCAACUUUCACAUAGGUCACUGGCCCAUAGGAGCGCAUCAACACAUACUUGGAAAGAUCCAAACAGGUGACCUGAAAUCGGACCUUGCAGCUCCCUCUAAGUUCCCAGCAACAUAUCCAUCACAAGAUCCAUCAGCCAAGGAAUACUCGAACCACUUUCUUUUCGCAUCU